UCGAUAAGAAUAAGUAGAGCUAUUGUAGUCACCCGAGCGUCGGCGUAACCACUUAAUACGUUAAAGUUUUGUAAUACCUCAAAUAUUUUCAAAGUCCAUUGACAUAUGGCUUUGAAACUUUGCACACUUGUUCACCAUCAUGACCCCAACCUGUAGACAGGGGAAGGUAACUCUAUCAAGCAUUUUGACAGAAUUAUUCCCCUUUUUCAACUUAGAAUUUACGUUAAAGUUUUUGUAAUACCUCAAAUAUUUUCAAAGUCCAUUGACAUAUGGCCUUAAAAAUUUGCAUGUACUUGUUGACCGUCAUGACCCCAACCUGUUAACAGGAGGAGGUAACUCUAUCAAGCAUUUUGACAGAAUUAUGCCCCUUUUUUGACUUAGAAUUUAAGUUUUUAAAGUUUUUGUAAUACAUCAAAUAUUUUCAAAGUUCAUUGACAUAAGGCUUUGAAACAUGUUGAAAUUGUAUACUCUUCUUUAGAGCAUAAUAGGACUCUCUCCAAGGCCUUUAAUCAAAGAAAUAUUUUGCCUUUUUCUUUACUGAGAAAAUUUUACCUUUUAAUGAAGGCUUUUUUAUAUGCCCGAAAGAAUUUCGGACAUAUUAUGUUAUACCCCCUGGCGUCUGUCCGUCCGUCUGUCCGUCCGUUAGCAAUUUGGUUUCCGGAGCAUAACUGAAGUUCCAUUUGGCCCACAAUAUUCAAACUUCAUAGGAUGAUUGUCCAUAUUGGGUAGAAGACCCCUAUUGAUUUUGGGGUCAAAGGUCAAGGUCACUAUUACCUUAAAACUGAAAACAGUUUCCGGAGCAUAACUUAAGUUCCAUUUGGCCCACAGUGUUCAAACUUCAUAGGAUGAUUGACGAUAUUGGGUAGAAGACCCCUAUUGAUUUUGGGGUCACAAGGUCAAAGGUCAAGGUCACUAUUACUUAGAAAUUGAAAACAGUUUCUUGAGCAUAACUUUAGUUCCAUUUAGCCCACAAUAUUCAAAAAUUUCAUAGUAUGAUUGUCCAUAUUGGAUAAAAGACCCCUAAUGAUUUUGGGGUCACAAGGUCAAAGGUCAAGGUCACUUUUACCUUAGAAUUGAAAACAGUUUCUGGGACAUAACUUAAAGUUCCAUUUGGACCACAAUAUUGAAACUUCAAAGGAGGAUUGUUAUUUGAAGGAGGUAAUACUUUAUUUUAGUCCCAUGUCUUACAAAUGCU
This is a long non-coding RNA of Ruditapes philippinarum (Manila clam), 1195 nucleotides long. RefSeq lists it as uncharacterized. Lineage: Eukaryota; Metazoa; Mollusca; Bivalvia; Venerida; Veneridae. The transcript has 2 exons. The record is from RefSeq and is a predicted model, not a curated record.